RNAcentral lists this ribosomal RNA (378 nucleotides) under Crypthecodinium cohnii. RNAcentral describes it as "partial Bacterial large subunit ribosomal RNA". It matches the Rfam family "Bacterial large subunit ribosomal RNA", at positions 188 to 615 of the family's 2925-position model. The record is from RNAcentral. Lineage: Eukaryota; Dinophyceae; Gonyaulacales; Crypthecodiniaceae.
GGGAACUGAAACAUCUAAGUACCCUGAGGAAAAGAAAUCAACCGAGAUUCCCUUAGUAGUGGCGAGCGAACGGGGACUAGCCCUUAAGUGGCUUUGAGAUUAGCGGAACGCUCUGGAAAGUGCGGCCAUAGUGGGUGAUAGCCCUGUACGCGAAAAUCUCUUAGUCAUGAAAUCGAGUAGGACGGAGCACGAGAAACUUUGUCUGAAUAUGGGGGGACCAUCCUCCAAGGCUAAAUACUACUGACUGACCGAUAGUGAACUAGUACCGUGAGGGAAAGGCGAAAAGAACCCCGGGAGGGGAGUGAAAUAGAUCCUGAAACCGCAUGCAUACAAGCAGUGGGAGCCGACUUGUUCGGUGACUGCGUACCUUUUGUAUAA